RNAcentral lists this ribosomal RNA (253 nucleotides) under uncultured bacterium. Its description in RNAcentral is "partial 16S ribosomal RNA". It matches the Rfam family "Bacterial small subunit ribosomal RNA", at positions 524 to 776 of the family's 1533-position model. The record is from RNAcentral.
UACGGAGGGAGCUAGCGUUGUUCGGAUAUACUGGGCGUAAAGCGCACGUAGGCGGCGCCGUAAGUCAGGGGUGAAAUCCCGGAGCUCAACUCCGGAACUGCCCUUGAAACUGCAGUGCUAGAAUCUUGGAGAGGCGAGUGGAAUUCCGAGUGUAGAGGUGAAAUUCGUAGAUAUUCGGAAGAACACCAGUGGCGAAGGCGACUCGCUGGACGACAACUGACGCUGAGACGCGAAAGCGUGGGGAGCAAACAGG